UACAGAGGGUGCGAGCGUUGUCCGGAAUUACUGGGCGUAAAGGGCUCGUAGGCGGCCAACUAAGUCGGACGUGAAAUCCCUCGGCUUAACCGGGGAACUGCGUCCGAUACUGGAUGGCUUGAGUUCGGGAGAGGGAUGCGGAAUUCCAGGUGUAGCGGUGAAAUGCGUAGAUAUCUGGAGGAACACCGGUGGCGAAGGCGGCAUCCUGGACCGACACUGACGCUGAGGAGCGAAAAGCCAGGGGAGCAAACGGGG
This 255-nucleotide ribosomal RNA is filed under the name uncultured bacterium. RNAcentral's name for it is "partial 16S ribosomal RNA". It matches the Rfam family "Bacterial small subunit ribosomal RNA", at positions 524 to 777 of the family's 1533-position model. The record is from RNAcentral.